RNAcentral lists this ribosomal RNA (1109 nucleotides) under uncultured Microbacterium sp. RNAcentral describes it as "bacterial SSU rRNA". It matches the Rfam family "Bacterial small subunit ribosomal RNA", at positions 69 to 1186 of the family's 1533-position model. The record is from RNAcentral. Lineage: Bacteria; Bacillati; Actinomycetota; Actinomycetes; Micrococcales; Microbacteriaceae.
GAACACGGAGCUUGCUCUGUGGGAUCAGUGGCGAACGGGUGAGUAACACGUGAGCAACCUGCCCCUGACUCUGGGAUAAGCGCUGGAAACGGCGUCUAAUACUGGAUAUGUGACGUGACCGCAUGGUCUGCGUCUGGAAAGAAUUUCGGUUGGGGAUGGGCUCGCGGCCUAUCAGCUUGUUGGUGAGGUAAUGGCUCACCAAGGCGUCGACGGGUAGCCGGCCUGAGAGGGUGACCGGCCACACUGGGACUGAGACACGGCCCAGACUCCUACGGGAGGCAGCAGUGGGGAAUAUUGCACAAUGGGCGCAAGCCUGAUGCAGCAACGCCGCGUGAGGGACGACGGCCUUCGGGUUGUAAACCUCUUUUAGCAGGGAAGAAGCGAAAGUGACGGUACCUGCAGAAAAAGCGCCGGCUAACUACGUGCCAGCAGCCGCGGUAAUACGUAGGGCGCAAGCGUUAUCCGGAAUUAUUGGGCGUAAAGAGCUCGUAGGCGGUUUGUCGCGUCUGCUGUGAAAUCCGGAGGCUCAACCUCCGGCCUGCAGUGGGUACGGGCAGACUAGAGUGCGGUAGGGGAGAUUGGAAUUCCUGGUGUAGCGGUGGAAUGCGCAGAUAUCAGGAGGAACACCGAUGGCGAAGGCAGAUCUCUGGGCCGUAACUGACGCUGAGGAGCGAAAGGGUGGGGAGCAAACAGGCUUAGAUACCCUGGUAGUCCACCCCGUAAACGUUGGGAACUAGUUGUGGGGUCCAUUCCACGGAUUCCGUGACGCAGCUAACGCAUUAAGUUCCCCGCCUGGGGAGUACGGCCGCAAGGCUAAAACUCAAAGGAAUUGACGGGGACCCGCACAAGCGGCGGAGCAUGCGGAUUAAUUCGAUGCAACGCGAAGAACCUUACCAAGGCUUGACAUAUACGAGAACGGGCCAGAAAUGGUCAACUCUUUGGACACUCGUAAACAGGUGGUGCAUGGUUGUCGUCAGCUCGUGUCGUGAGAUGUUGGGUUAAGUCCCGCAACGAGCGCAACCCUCGUUCUAUGUUGCCAGCACGUAAUGGUGGGGAACUCAUGGGAUACUGGCCGGGGUCAACUCGGAAGAAAGGUGGGGGAUGACGUC